UCGGUCUUCACUUGCUCCCACGC
This 23-nucleotide non-coding RNA is filed under the name Cricetulus griseus (Chinese hamster). The record is from RNAcentral. Lineage: Eukaryota; Metazoa; Chordata; Mammalia; Rodentia; Cricetidae.